GAUCCUGGCUCAGAAUCAACGCUGGCGGCGUGCCUAACACAUGCAAGUCGAGCGAGAAAAGGGGAGCAAUCCCCUGAGUAAAGCGGCGCGCGGGUGAGUAACACGUGGGUAAUCUGCCCUGGAGUGGGGAAUAACACCGGGAAACCGGUGCUAAUACCGCAUACGAUAACGAUGUCUGUGGACGUUGUUAUGAAAGGAGCAAUUCGCUCCAGGAGGAGCCCGCGGCUGAUUAGCUAGUUGGUGAGGUAAUGGCUCACCAAGGCAACGAUCAGUAGCCGGUCUGAGAGGACGGUCGGCCACACUGGAACUGAGACACGGUCCAGACUCCUACGGGAGGCAGCAGUGGGGAAUUUUUGGCAAUGGGGGAAACCCUGACCAAGCAACGCCGCGUGGAUGAUGAAGUAUCUCGGUACGUAAAAUCCUUUCGACAGGGAAGAAACCCGCAAGGGUUGACGGUACCUGUAGAAGAAGCCCCGGCUAACUCCGUGCCAGCAGCCGCGGUAAUACGGGGGGGGCAAGCGUUGUUCGGAAUUACUGGGCGUAAAGGGCGCGUAGGCGGUUUGCUAAGUUGGACGUGAAAACUCUGGGCUUAACCCAGAGACUGCAUCCAAAACUGGCAAGCUAGAGUUUUGGAGGGGGAAGCGGAAUUCCUGGUGUAGCAGUGAAAUGCGUAGAUAUCAGGAGGAACAC
This 690-nucleotide ribosomal RNA is filed under the name uncultured Acidobacteriota bacterium. Its description in RNAcentral is "bacterial SSU rRNA". It matches the Rfam family "Bacterial small subunit ribosomal RNA", at positions 15 to 709 of the family's 1533-position model. The record is from RNAcentral. Lineage: Bacteria; Pseudomonadati; Acidobacteriota.